Tachyglossus aculeatus (Australian echidna) is the source of this 138-nucleotide small nucleolar RNA. NCBI's taxonomy places the organism in Eukaryota, Metazoa, Chordata, Mammalia, Monotremata, Tachyglossidae. The record is from RefSeq and is a predicted model, not a curated record.
CCCCUCUCGGGGUCGCACCUGAAGAGUUUCCAGUACUCUACCAGUCUCGAUUAUGGGAGGGAGAGUCAAACAGACGUCUACCCAUUCCAUUCCUAGCUUGGGCAGUGGCAAGUGAGUGGAAGGCAAUCUGCUACAAGU